RNA transcript from Osmia bicornis bicornis, 7911 nucleotides. RefSeq lists it as uncharacterized. The record is from RefSeq and is a predicted model, not a curated record. NCBI's taxonomy places the organism in Eukaryota, Metazoa, Arthropoda, Insecta, Hymenoptera, Megachilidae. The transcript has 2 exons.
CGUCAGAAUAUGUUGGUAAUAACCAGCAAGAACAAUACAGAUCGCAUUACCCCACCGAGGCUAUAAUAGGGACAACUUCAACCCUAACGAGACUACCAAUACCAGUAAGCUGACACGGCCACGGGUGUUUUUCUUGGAAGGCAAAAUCCCCUUGCGCCUCGCUAGCCUUCCCCUUUAUUCGAUGCCAAUAAAAUUUCCUAGACACGACGGUCCUCGUGUUGGCGCUCGGUACGGAAAGCUUUCAAGAAUUGUACCGUAUGCGAAACCUGACGUAGCUCUUCAACGAUUUAACCUAGAUAACACGCCUAAUCUCGGCGAGGGAGCGUGAAAGCAUCGUAACUCGAGUAGUGUUUUCAAAUUUUUUUAGCGCUUUUACGAUCCAUUUGAUCGCAUCGAGCGGCUCGACGAUCUACAAAUCGAACGUAAUAAAAUUCUACGUAACGUAUGCGAGCGUGCCGAGUAGGCGAGAAAAGGCACGGUCGAGCAGCGGAGAAAGGCGAGCAAAAAUCGCGGCUCCAAGCUGGCUAGGACGGUGAGCAACGAGCGAACGGGCAAGCAAGCAAGCAAGCAAGCGAGCAGCAAGCAGUCAGACGAGAGCGGCAGACAACAUGGCGCCGAGAGCGUCGUCACGCCGGCGUGACGUUUCCCGCGCGCGUCAUUAACGGAAGUGAGCACACAAAAUGGCGGAGUUUUACGGCGCUGAGGUGUGAAAGGGAGGAGAGUACGGCAAGGGGGCAAGAGGGAGAGGCGGGUGGGGCGCCUACGGGUGCGGGCAGUCAGGCAGGAUGACGAGAGCCGUAGAAAGAGAGGAGUUGGUGGAGGUUAGGUCGGUGGCGCAAAGAAAGAAGAAUGACUGGUGGCCGGCAGCGGUGGACUAGCGCCUGUGUGACUGUGUGUCGAGCGGGUUGCCGGGACGUCGAGGGGCGCCUGCUGGAUAGAGAGAAAAAGAAAGAACACUCCGCUCGAAGCGAGGAAAGAAAGAGAAAGGUUGAGAGGUGGCCGGAUAAGUGGGGGUAACACGGUAAAAGACGGUGAGUGUGACAGCGACGAGCGAGGCGAGGGGUUUUAGAGCGAGAGAGCGAGUGGCGAAUCGUCGAGAGGGGAAGGGAAAAAGCGUUUCAGUGGGAAGCAGCCGCAGUCCUCGCCGAUGGUGGGGAUGAAAAUUAGUUACGGCAUCUACCAAGACCUAAAAGGAACUCCGUGCGCGGUGCGGCCAGGCCACUUCGUGCAAUGUUACGCGUUAAGGUACCCCCGUGCGUUGUUGGCAGUACCCGGUUUCUAAGCUCAUCGUCGUCAUUGUCGUUACCGUCGUUCUCGUUCUUGUUCUCGUUUUCGUUCUCGUUCGCGGUCUUGUGCUCGACGUGACGGUCAUCGUCACGCUGCGAAACAAUUCGGUACGUGAAAACACACUAUGGCUCAUGGCGUAAGCGAGGUGCUCGGUGAGGGAAGCACAGUGAAAAUGGUGCAUCAGAAGCAGCAACAGCAGCAGUCGGUGCAUCAACAUCAGCAGCAACAAAACGCGAAAAAAUCUGUCGGUGUGAUGGGAAGUAGACGCAUAUUCGCGCCGGCCUUCAAGCUCAAGGUUCUCGAUUCGUACAGGAACGAUAUCGACUGUCGUGGAAAUCAACGAGCCACAGCGAGGAAAUACGGGAUUCAUCGACGUCAAAUACAAAAGUGGUUACAGUGCGAGGAUAAUUUGAGAAACAGUUGUGCCGAGACUGGAAAUAAUGGAGUGGUCACGACGACGGUGAUCUCUGCCGCGGGUGUUUCUAAGGCGGACGGCACCGUGUCAGAAUCCACGGGGUCCGCCGUGACUCCAGCAGCGCCGGCCUUGAACCUCAGCCUCGCCAGACUGCACGGCGACGAGCUGGCUACACAGCAAGGGCCCCCACCUCUUCUUUCUCGUCCUCCUCAUGGUAGUUCACCCUCUUCGCCCCAAUACGUUUCUCAAUCCAACACGGUUUCGGUUUUACCCGUUCGUGUCGGAUACCAGGAAUAUUCCGCUAAUCAAGAUCAACAUCAUCUUCGUCGAGAUACGGAGGAUCGAAUACGGGCAACGGACGUUCACGGAUAUUCGGAGGCUCGUGUGAAUCAGGAAACUAAUUAUUACGUUUUAAACGCUGAUGGACAACGUGAACUGGAAAACGCGACGACGUCGUUCGAGAGCCGAAACGAGGCGAAGGUGUACCAAACUCUGACGAGUUAUCGCGCCUCGCAUCAGGAGCAUCGGUACAGUGAAAAUGAGAAACAUCGUUCGCCGAGUCAUCGUCAUCGAUCGUCGCAAAAUUACGGAGAUGUGGAUUCCUCGGUGGACGGGAAAUCAUCGUACGGUUUGCUGCUAGCGCCGUCGAUGAUAAAGACGGAACGCGCGAGCCCAGACUCGGCGGCGACGCCAGGGCCGUGCGAGUCGACUAGUUCUCCCGGUCUCUCCAGGAUCCCACUCUCGCCUCUUCUGCAUCAAGCCAGCAACAGUUCCAGCUCCAGUUCCAGCUCUACAACGUCCGUUCACUUCGAUUCCCCACGGGCCUCCGCGAGUCCGUGCUCGUUGCACGUGCACGAUCACGAUCACGCACACGAGCACGUACACGCAUACGCGUCACCGACUCCGGAUUCCGAGAAGUCGAUCCCGUCCAUGUAUCAGCAGGAGAGAGAGUCGAAGGAGACAACGACGACGACGACAACGACAACGACAGUUCGUAUCGGUGAGAAGGAAACAGAGGACAUUGCGGGGGAGGCAGAAAUUGGUAGGGCGGUGGUCAAGGAAGAAAUUCAGCUGGAAGAAGAGGAGAAUUGCGAGGAGGGAAGAGAAGCUGUCCCUGCAGCAUCUUCGUACAUCGAUUAUCAACGACCACCUGCUGGCUCGUCUUUUCUCGAUUCCCGUCCUGCCAGCCCUGUACACGAUCGAGAAGGAUACUCGUUGCCUUCGAGCCCUCGCGAACCGACCAGUUCCGCUGGGUCCAGCACCAGUUGCUCCGACAGCGAGAUGGACCCUCUCGACUGUUCUUCCGGUGGUCACAAUUCGUCCAACGACCUUGCUCGGCGACGAUCCUUCUCCCUGCGAUUCAAAUUAGACGUUCUCGAUGCUUUCCACCGAGACGUCGGUGUCGCCGGGAACCAACGCGCCACCGCUCGAAAAUUUGGCAUAAAUCGUCGUCAAGUUCAGAAAUGGUUAGGCCAGGAAACGGAGUUGAGGGGCGAGAUCGCUCUUCGUGGAAACUCGCGACAGCGACUCGGCCCUAUCCAGGAUGUCGCUUCCGGUGACUCACCGGUAGAUCUGAGGACGUCGAACUACGUUUCCAGUUUAUCGCAGGAUCAAAUCGAAGCUGAAUACGAGCGAUCGCCUCCGCCUCGUUACUGUUGCGACAUCGGCUCCUCCUCCUCGCAGCAUCUUUUCUACUAUCACCAUCCUGCCGCGAUAGACCCGUCUUCCGAGAGCGAGCCUACCGUUUCUUGCAAUCUCUCCUGUUGCAUGGACAGUCACGCUACGACACCGGUCACCUCGUGUUACCAGGAAGUGUCCUUAAGGGGAUCUUGCUACGCGGAGUCACAGAACAGGCAGUACUGUUAUUCUCCGAGAGAGUAUUCGUCCGAGAUCACUUCGAUCCCCUCGAUCCCCGAACAAUCGGAAGAAUUGUCCUCGCCACUCAAGAGGCAACACUGCACCCUCUCUUGUUGCUACGAAACGCUGCCUUCGCCGAAAAGGCUUUGCCUGGAGGCGGAUGAAUCGACACAAUUGAACGGAAAUUCCUGCCAACAAGUGCCUCCUCAAGAAACGCCACUCUGUCUGGUGAAGCCAAAGAGGCUGGUUGUCGCCUCGCCGUUGAGGACAGAGCCGGUAACCAGUACGGUGCCGACGCCACCGGCGUCCACCGUGCUACCGCAUCCAGGACCAACAGCGAAGAAGGACGCCAUCUUGUUCAAACCCUACUUGGACAAUCCGGUGAGCAAACCUGCGAAAGAGCACGCGGUUCAAAGGGGAUUGUCACCAGUCAGCAGUCAGAACAUCAGCAACAACAACAACUGCCAAAGCGUUUGUAAUUUGAACGAAGGUAGCAGGGGCCACGAUUAUGCUCUCGAGCUUAGCUUAAGACUGCCGGUAUCCUGGAGGACUCAACCGAGUCCGUACACCGAGUUCCCGCAGGUCAGGAGCGCAUUCGUUAGGUAUCCAGCGAGUCAUUACAGUUAAUUCAAACGUUUAUUCGAUUCUCGAUCUCGUGAAAUAUGUAUUACAGCGACACCUGUUCCAGCUUGAUCCUCGAUUCGGGCCGAGUCCAAGUACCUUGCAAUUGAUUUUAUUUACUUUACAAAUUUUAGAAUACAAUUUUUAAUUGUACAUUGAGAAUUUUAACCCAUCGAUUCUUAGAUAUCUACAAUCGUUCAGGGACAAAUGCCUCGUGGACAGGAUCAUCCGAGGCAGGAUCGAUUAGUACGUGAUCUACGACACGUCGUAUGCCACGUAAGAGUUUAUCGUUUCCACGGAUCGUCGGUACCGUGUUAUACAUCAUGAUAAAGUCCUAAUCGGCCAUUGGACGAACCGAAACGUGGAAGGAGAUUAUACACACGCUCGCGUCCUCGCUUAGCAUCUCCUUCGGACCCCCUCUUAUACCUUACGCUCUUCUUCUUUUUCCCCGCUCAAAAGUCUUUUCUUUACUUUUUUUUUCCGCGCCUCUUUAUCGUCGAGAUUAACGGCUAUCUGCUAGGCCGUUUAGAGGUCGAGUGCGUUCGCUAUAAUUACGGAAUUAUGUCAGUCUCGGGACGAUACCGAUCACGAAAGAAAAAGUCUCUCGCGGCUGACAACGUGGUUUCUAGCAUUGCGUUACGCAAUAGCCUGACGACAUACCGUCUCUUGUUCAUCGAGUAAUCGUAUUCUCCAGAAAAAAACCAUCGAUUCGUAUCGAAUCGAACUCGAAACGGAUGAUCGUCUAUGCUAGAACUGCGGCUACCGGUUUCCUUGGUUCUUUUUCUAUUCUUCAUCUUCUUCUUCCUCCUCCUCCUCCUCCUCCUCCUCUUUUGCCACGGUAGCUUCUCGAUUCUCGGUUUGUCAUACAUCGUUUCGAAUGAACGGUUGUCGCUGUUCUUAUUCCACCGUCGUCGAUCGAGGAUCGAUCUUAUAAAUAUCGUGUUUAAUUGCUCAAAAAAUUUCUUCCAUGGGCGCAGCUGUGCGAUGCACGGUGCGCAAGUAUUACGACAGGGUUUCGCUUCUUCGUUAUAUUCUUCGGUUCUCUCCCCUUUUGAUCGACUUCUUUAUGAAUCUUCUUCGAUCUCUUUCUUCUUCUCCUCGAAAUAUAAUUUUGUAAAUAAAAUAAUUCUAAUGUUUCUCUGUCGAUGCAAUAAAUAAUUGAGGAGAAAGAGGAAAAAGUAUAUGAAACUAAGAAAAAGAAAAGUCAGUACUUACCUAACGAUUACUUCAAUAAUUAGAACUAAAAUUAUUUAAUAUCAUAAGGAAAGGAGUUGACGAUGCAAUUGUAAAAUUAUUUUAUUUUUGGAAACAUAAUAUUCAUGACGAAACACGGUCGAUCAAGAGGGGAGAAUUUCAAAAAGACAAAUACGGGAGUGCUCCGAAACAACUCGCGUGCCUUACACAUGAUAGGAGAUCGUGUAGCGUCGACAUUUUAAGGGAUACAAUUUUAGAAAUUUAGACCAAUAAGGAGACAACGUUCUUAAUUAUUCUUAUAAAUUAUUCGCACGUCGUCUUCUCCGUUUGACCGUGUGUUCCGAUUCUCGCGAGGCGAUAACACGUUUCUUCUUUAACAUCGUCGAACGACUUUCGGUAAUAAUAAUAGAGAAUGAAAAAAGUGUGGAAAUUCCUCUUCAUAUGCGAUUACCAUUUCUCGUAAUCGGUCGUUAUGUUCGACCCCAAGGAGAUAAUGGUCGCGAUAAUGAUCCGUGUGCAUUGACCAGCGUUGCUAUUCGCGAAAACGGAUACGAGCGAACGGGAAAGCGAAAAUAGCGGUUCCACGAAUGUUCUUGUGAUCGGAUAAUUGAGCGAGCCCACGGUAAAGAAGGGCAAUUUUGUAAAUCACCGUCGCAGACGGAGGCAGUUACGUCAAUGUUUCAAUAUUCAGAGCCAAUCGAGCUCGUUCCCAGUGCGGCUAAUCUCACAUAUUGCGACAGCCGCGUUACAUUAUCGGUCGAAAUGCACUCGCUCGUUACCGAGUCGGCCGACACGGGUCAACAGCGCACCAAUCUAUCUCCCGAACGGACGUAAAAAUGCGUCAAAUUUUGUAAAUAGUCAACUAUUCGUACCUUUGAAACAAUAACAGUAUCGGAAAAGGAAUUUCCCUCCCCUUCGUUCCGAUUCGAUCUCGUCUUUUAGAACUCGGAGAAUCGGAAGAUAGGAAACGAGAGAAGAAAAGGAGGGUAUAUUAGCCUUGUCCGCGUUCGUCGAUAGGGUCAAGGUGGCAAUGUACAAUAAAAUGUAGCGUAAUCGUAAGCCAUAAUGAAUUACAUAAUGCCAUAACGUUUUACAUAAUAAACGUAUAGUGUCGAACCGACUGACGAAAGAGGGAGCGUGCUCGGUAGUGCGAGAAAUAAAUGCGUGGAUACGUGCGUGCGUGCUUGCUUGCCUGUGUUCCGUGUGCACAGCCCACAAGAGUCUAUUAAACGAGGCAUAGAGCAUUGUAUAAGCAAUAUUUUUUAAGUGCAUAAAAGUGUGUGAACGGUUGAGAGGUAGGCGAAGGGAUGGCGCACGAGCAGCAGCGUUUCGUGGGCGAGCCCCCGCGUUUUAAACUUCGUCAUUCACACACGUUAGAAACGAAGCGCCUGAAAAACUCGCCCGGUGCCUUUUUAGAUCGCUCGUGCCUUAUAGCUUCGCGCGAGGUGGAAUCAAGGACCAAAAGUGUCCCGCGUCCUUAGAACGAUCCACGGGUAUUUAUACGUUCCCCUCCGCGACGAUGAAGCGUUCCGUGCUGGUUCUUGGCAAGGAUAACGCUACGGGACAGAGUGCAUACACCGGUGACUCGCCCAAGCGUGUAAUAAUAUCAGUAUUCAGAAUUUAUAUUCGUUUAUUUAUUAUUGGUCGUCGACACAGUGGUCCGAAUCGAAGAAUUUAGUUACGUUCUAGUAUUACCUUUGAACCAAGAGAAGGUACAUCCUGGGAUCUCCUCUUCUUCGUGUUCAUUCCUUGAAAAAAAUACGUAAGAAAUGUGUUCGGCCUUGUAUCCAGUUCAUAAUCCAUGUAAGGGAGAUGAACACGGAGGAAAGGAACCCAUGGACAAGGUACGAUUAAUAUUUUUUGGUAAAAUGUCCCUAUAUUCUUCUGUCCGGAGUCUGGACCAUUGUACGUCAUUUUAAAUCCACGUUAGAAACGAACCACUCUUGUUUCUCUUCUGCCUCGUCGAAUGAAAGAGGAUAAUUGAAAAGAUAUUAUAGUUUCACCCUUCUCUUAGAUCUAUUUUAUUCGUAUUUCCGAUCAUUCUGAAGGAAAACAUUUAAAAUUCAGUAAAACGAUAAGGUGAACUCGUUCCGAGGGUCGAUCGAGAGCUAACGAAACGAAUCAAUCAGGGUUCCUUCGCCGAGAGGCAGCUCAAAGUGUGAUAAAUCGCCUCGUUUCUUCGAGGCUUAUCUAUUUUUCUUUUUUUCUUCUGUACGACCGAGGCUCUCUGGCGAGCAUGAAACAAUGGCGAAAGCAACGAUAUUAUUUGACUCCGUCGUUUAAAAGCGUUAUUUCUCUUCUGUCGUUAAAAUUGUGAUCUAUCGAGAUGAAAAUGGCGAGACUGAGAGGGAGAGGCUGAAACACAGAGAGAUAAAGUAAGUGUGAACGUCGUUCUUCUUUUUUUUUUCUACGAUAGGAAGAAACAAAAUUCAUUGUAUUAAAUAUUGUAUUAUAUGUACACACAGCCGGACACAUACACACAGACAUGUAGAUUAUUGAAAAUUUUAAAGAAAAUAUAAGAGACUAUUUUAAAUGAA